GGAGGCACGUUUGUCGGAAUUAUUGGGCGUAAGAGCUCGUAGGCGGCUUGUCGCGUCUGCUGUGAAAGCCCGGGGCUUAACUCCGGGUGUGCAGUGGGUACGGGCAGGCUAGAGUGCAGUAGGGGUAACUGGAAUUCCUGGUGUAGCGGUGAAAUGCGCAGAUAUCAGGAGGAACACCGAUGGCGAAGGCAGGUUACUGGGCUGUUACUGACGCUGAGGAGCGAAAGCAUGGGGAGCGAACAGGAUUAGAUACCCUGGUAGUCCAUGCCGUAAACGUUGGGCACUAGGUGUGGGGGACAUUCCACGUUUUCCGCGCCGUAGCUAACGCAUUAAGUGCCCCGCCUGGGGAGUACGGCCGCAAGGCUAAAACUCAAAGGAAUUGACGGGGGCCCGCACAAGCGGCGGAGCAUGCGGAUUAAUUCGAUGCAACGCGAAGAACCUUACCAAGGCUUGACAUACACCGGAUCGUUCCAGAGAUGGUUCUUCCCUUUUGGGCUGGUGUACAGGUGGUGCAUGGUUGUCGUCAGCUCGUGUCGUGAGAUGUUGGGUUAAGUCCCGCAACGAGCGCAACCCUCGUUCUAUGUUGCCAGCACGUGAUGGUGGGGACUCAUAGGAGACUGCCGGGGUCAACUCGGAGGAAGGUGGGGAUGACGUCAAAUCAUCAUGCCCCUUAUGUCUUGGGCUUCACGCAUGCUACAAUGGCCGGUACAAUGGGUUGCGAUACUGUGAGGUGGAGCUAAUCCCAAAAAGCCGGUCUCAGUUCGGAUUGGGGUCUGCAACUCGACCCCAUGAAGUCGGAGUCGCUAGUAAUCGCAGAUCAGCAACGCUGCGGUGAAUACGUUCCCGGGCCUUGUACACACCGCCCGUCAAGUCACGAAAGUUGGUAACACCCGAAGCCGAUGGCCUAACCCUUGUGGAGGGAGUCGUCGAAGGUGGGACUGGCGAUUGGACUACAAAGAAAG
This 962-nucleotide ribosomal RNA is filed under the name Rothia kristinae. Its description in RNAcentral is "bacterial SSU rRNA". It matches the Rfam family "Bacterial small subunit ribosomal RNA", at positions 530 to 1495 of the family's 1533-position model. The record is from RNAcentral. Lineage: Bacteria; Bacillati; Actinomycetota; Actinomycetes; Micrococcales; Micrococcaceae.